UUUUAGCCCUGAUAGCGGUGUAUAUCCUUUCUAGUCCUGAACUUGUUUCAGGAUCCUGAAACAAGUUCAGGACUAGAAAGAUUGUAACGGAUAGCGGGAUUAGCU
RNAcentral lists this small RNA (105 nucleotides) under Flavobacterium xueshanense. RNAcentral's name for it is "Flavo-1 RNA". It matches the Rfam family "Flavo-1 RNA". Lineage: Bacteria; Pseudomonadati; Bacteroidota; Flavobacteriia; Flavobacteriales; Flavobacteriaceae. The record is from RNAcentral.